CAGUCGCCACGGGAAUACGGAGGGUGCAAGCGUUAAUCGGAAUUACUGGGCGUAAAGCGCACGCAGGCGGUCUGACAAGUCAGAUGUGAAAUCCCCGGGCUUAACCUGGGAACUGCAUUUGAAACUGUCAGGCUGGAGUCUUGUAGAGGGGGGUAGAAUUCCAGGUGUAGCGGUGAAAUGCGUAGAGAUCUGGAGGAAUACCGGUGGCGAAGGCGGCCCCCUGGACAAAGACUGACGCUCAGGUGCGAAAGCGUGGGGAGCAAACAGGAUUAGAUACCCCGGUAGUCCCUGUCUCUUAUAA
This 301-nucleotide ribosomal RNA is filed under the name uncultured bacterium. RNAcentral's name for it is "partial 16S ribosomal RNA". It matches the Rfam family "Bacterial small subunit ribosomal RNA", at positions 509 to 809 of the family's 1533-position model. The record is from RNAcentral.